ACAACAGAUGAGACGGACUCACGAUCUUCUAAAACUGCAUGUUUAUUAGCGUUGCCUAGCGUCUGCGUCUGACAACUCUCCUCCGUCUGUGGACAUGGGAGGACCUGCGAGUCCUCCUACGUCUACCAACGGGGCGAGCAGCGUGUCUGCGUCAGAGAUCAGAAAU
Long non-coding RNA from Sander lucioperca (pikeperch), 166 nucleotides. RefSeq lists it as uncharacterized. The record is from RefSeq and is a predicted model, not a curated record. The transcript is spliced from 3 exons. Lineage: Eukaryota; Metazoa; Chordata; Actinopteri; Perciformes; Percidae.